Camelina sativa (false flax) is the source of this 793-nucleotide non-coding RNA. The record is from RefSeq and is a predicted model, not a curated record. Lineage: Eukaryota; Viridiplantae; Streptophyta; Magnoliopsida; Brassicales; Brassicaceae.
GAUAGCUCUUCAUCUCGUGUCUUCUUCUUCUAAUUUCCGAUUAUCAUCAUCAAUCAAAUCUAACUAAUCCAAUGGGGUUUUGUUCGUAAUAUAUAUAACCUGCGUCUCCUUGUUCUUCUUCUUUCAUCAUCAAGCAAUUAAACGUCAACAUGUUCUGUUCUACGCCUCCGACAGCUGAUCGAAGCAACCUGCAAUUUGUUCUCAAAAAAAGCUUCUCGUCUCCUCCGCACACGACUAGUUCCAGUAAAACGGACUCAUCACGGAGCUUUCUUUUGUUGAUUCUACGAUAUUUACGAGUAUUCUUCUCCUCAAUGCCAUUACAAUCGUUUAUGGUUGUUGUUAUAAAACAAAUUGAGAAGAUGGAGAUAUUAUGGAGGGAUAUCGACAGUUUUUUUUUGUGUUGUGGCUGCUGCUGCAACUACGUUAACAGUCCAACAAAUAAGAAGGCAUAUGAUGGAAGAAUGGAAGUGGGUCAACAACAAUCAGAUUCCCUCCCUUAAUUUCUCAUCCAUUCCUGAGCCAGGUAACUCUUCUUUUCAUCUCUUUAUUUUUUUUCUCUUUCUAACUAACUAUAUAAAAACUAGAAAUUAAAAAUUAAAUGAAAACUUAAACUUAAAUACUAAAUUACAAAAAAAAAACAUUAUGGACUAACUGGAUUUUGGAUGCAAUUAAUUUCGUUAGACAUUCCACAAAUUCGACUUGGUUCCGUUUUGUUAUGUGUGUAUUUAGUAUUUAAGUUUAGUUUUUUCAAUCAAUUAAAAACUAAAAGUUAUAAUUAGUUUUAUUUUUAAUU